GAUGAAGAACGUAGCGAAAUGCGAUAAGUAAUGUGAAUUGCAGAAUUCAGUGAAUCAUCGAAUCUUUGAACGCACAUUGCGCCCGCCAGCAUUCUGGCGGGCAUGCCUGUUCGAGCGUCAUUUCAACCCUCGACCUCCCCUUGGGGAAGUCGGCGUUGGGGACCGGCAGCAUACCGCCGGCCCCGAAAUGGAGUGGCGGCCCGUCCGCGGCGACCUCUGCGUAGUAAUCCAACUCGCACCGGAACCCCGACGUGGCCACGCCGUAAAACCCCCGACUUCUGAACGUUGACCUCGGAUCAGGUAGGAAUACCCGCUGAACUUAAGCAUAUCAAUAAGCGGAGGA
This 343-nucleotide unclassified non-coding RNA is filed under the name soil metagenome. RNAcentral's name for it is "partial contains 5.8S ribosomal RNA, internal transcribed spacer 2, and large subunit ribosomal RNA". The stretch from base 1 to 120 matches the Rfam family "5.8S ribosomal RNA", at positions 35 to 154 of the family's 154-position model. The record is from RNAcentral.